GGCGACCUUGCCACGUCAGUCAUCGAUCCUUAUGCAUGUCACCUCCUAGAACCCCCGUCGUCUCCUCCCCUCGGCGCCACCAUCUCCGGUCCCCAACUCCUCCGUCCUCGGUGUCCAAUCAAAGGUUGCCGCCGGCGACCACCGGCGGACUUUCUAGCCACCGCCUCUCUGCCACAACAACGUCCACAUCCAGGUAUAUUUUUAUUCCCAGAUCCUUUU
RNAcentral lists this unclassified non-coding RNA (219 nucleotides) under Hevea brasiliensis (rubber tree). The record is from RNAcentral. Lineage: Eukaryota; Viridiplantae; Streptophyta; Magnoliopsida; Malpighiales; Euphorbiaceae.